GUGAUCUGCCCGCCUCAGCCUCCUAAAGUGCUGGGAUUAUAGAAGUGAGCCACCACGCCUGGCCAAGUACCCAUAUUUUUAAACGGUGCUUUCUGCCACUGUGUUGUUAAUUUGUGGUGUUAACUGCCACAGUACGUUCUGCCAUCUGGCACAUGAUGCUAUGAUUCUGCAUGACUGGUGCAAUGAGAAACAGAAUAUCCCAUUUAUGUUAGCAUCACCUAUAACCAAGUCAUGGCAGUAUUGCAGUAUUUUCUUAGUGUGCAACUGCAGCUCUCUUGCUUUAAGAGUUGUUUUAGAUAUGUUAUUCUUCUAAAGGAAGAAAAAAGCUGUCAAUAUCUUUGUACUUUGUCUACCUGUGCAGCUACUCAGGGUACUCCAAAUCAAGCUAACAUCUUACAGUCCAUUUAACUGCCAUAGCCAAGUACUGCUGUCACAAGCAAAACAUAAAGAAGUCUGAUACGAUGCUGCUGUCUACAGCCAUACCACCCUGAAUGUGCCCGAUCUCGUCUGAUAGGUCUGCUGCGGAAGGUACUCUCUAUGGAAGAACAUAAGACCUCAGCACCAAAGUCAAGGUUUGGAGAAGGAUACUGAUGUCUUCCUCUCGAGUUGUUGGACAGAUUAGAGACAAUGACAGUUGAGAGUGAAAGGAGAAACUAUGACUAGACAAGAGGCAGCAACUGGGAUAUCUGUUUAUGAUUUAUACAACUAUGAUAACACGUAUCAUGACUGUAGUAAAAUUCUGUUCCUGCGUCUGGACCUUCUUCAUCCCCAGAAGACCAUAAGCCCUGAGGGGCAAACCUUAUCCACCUCUGUAUUCCAAGAACCUAAGUGCCAAGAUGGGCAGUACUGACUUGAACAAACCUACAAUAAACCCUGGAACAAGCUACUAAUGUUCACUGCCACAGAUAACAUUUCUUUGAUACUAAUUAAAUGAAAGCUGAGCUGGCGAAUUUUUAUAUCUUUUUUUUUUAAGAAGCAUGACUCAAAUAGUAACUACCAAUUAUUUAAACAGCAAUCAGAAAUAGCCUGAGAAUUUAAGACAGGGGAAACAGAAUCUCUAAAGGGAAGUUACAUCAAAAGAUACAAAGUAUUCUUUUUUAUUAAAACUGUUUAUGCCUCCAGCUCUUGGUAUAAGAACAAGUCAGCAGUGUUCUAUUCCUAGUCUCUUUCUAGACUACAUUUUUUUUUUUAAGUAUCUCUUCUCUUACUUCAAAGGGGAAAAAAAUGUUUGAUGUAAGAACUGGUCAGUCAUGAAUCAAAGUAAAAGAUAAAGCAUACAACAAAGAGUUUCUCGAAGCCAGGGAGAAUCCAUUUAGCGUCCUCGAUUUAAAGGGAAAUCCCCUUGGCUAUUUCUCCCAAACAAACUGUUUAUAACAAGUUGGAGGAUUUAUAUCCACUCAACCACAUAAGGUCUACUUCUUACACCUAGAAAAGACAAUACUACAAAAUGUGUGAAAGAAAGACUAUUUUUCAACAGCAUAAUUAACAUCUGCAAAAAUCAAUCUCCUGGGGUACACUAUACUGAAAUUCUUAAGAAUCUUCUUUCCUCUACGAAAGGUUUUUUUGUUGUUGUUGUUUUGUUUGUUUGUUUUUGAGACAGAGUCUUGCUCUGUCGCCCAGGCUG
Molecule: long non-coding RNA, 1624 nt
Filed under: Homo sapiens (human)
Lineage: Eukaryota; Metazoa; Chordata; Mammalia; Primates; Hominidae
Description: HSALNT0400705
Source: RNAcentral